UCCCUUUUCUAAUUCAUAUUUUUACGCUAAAACGCACGAAACAGGGGCGAGCUCUCUGUCUCUAUUAUUUUUACAUUGCACCAAUCAAAGAACACCUCUUUCUCUGUUAAAAGCACGAUCUCGAUCCAGGCUUCUUCUUUAAUUAGUCUUCGAAAAUGCCUCUCAGACUCGAAAUUAAGAGGAAACUUGCUCAAAAAUCAGAGAGAGUAAAAUCCGUAGAUCUCCAUCCAACAGAACCAUGGAUUCUAGCAAGUUUGUAUUCUGGAACUGUGUGCAUCUGGAACUACCAGUCACAGACCAUGGCUAAGUCAUUUGAAGUCACUGAGUUGCCAGUUAGGUCAGCCAAGUUCGUUGCACGCAAACAAUGGGUUGUUGCUGGAGCUGAUGACAUGUUUAUUCGAGUAUACAAUUACAACACAAUGGAUAAGGUCAAAAUAUUUGAGGCACAUACCGAUUACAUUAGAUGUGUCGCUGUCCAUCCUACUCUUCCUUAUGUGUUGUCUUCAUCUGAUGAUAUGCUCAUUAAGCUUUGGGAUUGGGAUAAGGGUUGGGUGUGUACUCAGAUAUUUGAGGGACAUUCCCAUUAUGUCAUGCAAGUGACCUUUAAUCCCAAGGACACUAAUACUUUUGCUAGUGCAUCUCUUGACCGUACUAUAAAGAUUUGGAACCUUGGCUCCCCCGACCCAAAUUUUACUCUGGAUGCCCAUCAGAAAGGUGUAAAUUGUGUUGAUUACUUUACAGGAGGUGAUAAGCCCUAUCUGAUCACUGGUUCUGAUGACCACACUGCUAAGGUAUGGGACUACCAGACAAAGAGUUGUGUUCAGACAUUGGAAGGCCACACGCACAAUGUUUCUGCUGUUUGUUUCCAUCCUGACCUUCCCAUUAUUAUCACUGGUUCUGAGGAUGGGACAGUUCGUAUCUGGCAUGCUACCACUUAUAGGCUAGAAAAUACAUUGAAUUAUGGUCUUGAGAGAGUUUGGGCAAUUGGAUAUAUGAAAGGUUCACGGAGGAUUGUGAUUGGGUAUGACGAAGGAACUAUUAUGGUGAAAAUUGGCCGUGAAGUACCUGUAGCAAGUAUGGACAACAGUGGGAAAAUCAUAUGGGCUAAGCAAAAUGAAAUUCAAACUGUGAAUAUUAAGAGUGUAGGAGCAGAUUUUGAGGGUACUGAUGGAGAAAGAUUGCCCUUAGCUGUUAAGGAAUUGGGGACCUGUGAUCUGUACCCUCAAAGCUUAAAGCAUAACCCAAAUGGGAGGUUUGUUGUUGUAUGUGGAGAUGGUGAGUACAUUAUAUAUACAGCUUUGGCUUGGAGAAAUAGGUCAUUUGGUUCUGCGUUAGAAUGUGUUUGGUCAGCUGAUGGUGAGUAUGCUGUUAGAGAAAGCACAUCAAAGAUUAAGAUUUUCAGCAAAAGUUUCCAGGAAAAGAGGAGUGUCCGGCCAACCUUCUCUGCUGAGCGUAUUUUUGGGGGCACUCUACUGGCAAUGUGCUCCAAUGAUUUUAUUUGUUUUUACGAUUGGGCUGAAUGCAGGUUGAUUCGUCGAAUUGAUGUUACUGUGAAAAAUCUCUACUGGGCUGAUAGUGGUGACUUGGUGGCAAUCGCUAGUGAGACAUCUUUUUAUAUCCUGAAGUACAAUCGAGAUGUAGUUCAAUCUUACUUAGAUAGUGGAAGACCGGUUGAUGAAGAAGGAGUUGAGGAUGCAUUUGAACUACUUCAUGAAACCAAUGAACGUGUCAGGACCGGCAUUUGGGUUGGGGACUGUUUCAUUUACAACAACUCUUCUUGGAGGCUUAAUUACUGUGUCGGUGGAGAGGUAACGACAAUGUUUCAUUUGGAUCGUCCAAUGUACUUGUUGGGAUAUCUUGCUAGCCAAAGUCGGGUAUAUCUGAUAGACAAAGAGUUCAAUGUUAUGGGAUACACGUUACUUCUCAGCCUGAUUGAGUACAAGACUCUUGUGAUGCGUGGAGACUUGGAAAGGGCCAAUGAAAUUUUACCUUCUAUUCCCAAAGAGCACCAUAAUAGUGUGGCUCAUUUCCUGGAAUCACGAGGCAUGGUAGAGGAUGCACUAGAAGUAGCUACAGACCCUGAUUACAGAUUUGAGCUUGCCAUACAGCUUGGUAAACUAGAGAUUGCUAAGGAAAUUGCCGCAGAAGUUCAGAGUGAGUCUAAAUGGAAACAGUUGGGAAAAUUGGCUUUGUCCACUGGAAAGCUAGCAAUGGCUGAGGAAUGCAUGAAGCAUGCAAUGGACCUGAGUGGCUUAUUGCUGCUUUAUUCCUCUUUGGGCGAUGCCGAAGGAAUAUCAAGACUGGCAUCCCUUUCCAAAGAGCAGGGGAAGAACAAUGUUGCUUUCCUUUGUUUAUUCAUGUUGGGUAAAUUGGAGGAUUGCCUUCAGCUUUUAGUGGAAAGCAAUCGGAUACCAGAGGCUGCUCUUAUGGCUCGAUCUUAUCUUCCAAGCAAGGUUUCAGAGAUAGUGACAAUUUGGAGAAAAGACCUCUACAAGGUUAAUCCCAAAGCUGCUGAAUCUUUGGCUGAUCCUGGAGAGUAUCCUAACUUGUUUGAGGAUUGGGAGCUUUCUCUUUCUGUUGAGUCUAAACUGGCAGAAACAAGGGAUGUUUAUCCUCCUGCAUCGGGCUAUUUGAACCAUGCUGAUAGAUCACAGAUGACACUUGUGGAAGCUUUCAGAAACAUGCAAGUAGAGGAUGAGGAGCCACUUGAAAAUGGUGAUCUUUACCAUGAGUCUGCAGAACCAAAUGGAUGUAAUCAGAUUUCAGAGCAGAAUGGAGAAGAGGGUAGCCAAGAGGAGGCUGUUGUUGUGGAUGCUGAUUCUAAUGAUGGUGCAGUACUUGUCAAUGGUAACGAGCCUGAAGAAGAGUGGGGUACGAAUAAUGAAGGAUCCCGGUCAGCCUAAAAGCUAUUGGUUGGGGCAGUGUGAAAAUCGAAAUUUUGUCUCUGGUGAUUAAUUGAUUCUAAAACUGCUAACACCAGAUCACUAGGUCCCAUGAAGACAUUCAUUUCGAGCUCUACUCAGCAUUUAUUUAAGCAGAUUUUGAUCUAAAGGUCUGAUCAUCUUGCAUACCUGGUGGUUUGGAGCCACUGAGAACAUUGAUUUUGGGCAUGGGGAAGGCAUAUACAAGUAUUUGGUUAGCUUUGGAACUAUGAUUUUAGUUGCUUGUUUUAAUCUUUAGCAUAUAUAUAAUAUUCUUUUGAGGCAUUGUCCUAAAAAAAUUUGUCCGAUGUGCCAUUGUGAAUGUAGAAAGAAUUCGAGAAUUAGUGAUGAUAAUUACCCAAUUGCAGCCCAUUUUUAUGUUGUUUAAAGUUUA
Molecule: RNA transcript, 3315 nt
Organism: Gossypium raimondii (Peruvian cotton)
Lineage: Eukaryota; Viridiplantae; Streptophyta; Magnoliopsida; Malvales; Malvaceae
Gene name: coatomer subunit beta'-2
Exons: 26
Source: RefSeq, a predicted model, not a curated record